GUGGCGGUAGCCUAGCACAUGCAGUCGAGGGGUAACAGGAGAUAGCUUGCUAUUGGCUGACGAGACGGGUGAGUAACGCGUAGGAAUCUGCCUCAAGCAGGUGAUAGCCCGGGGAAACUCGGAUUACUACCGUAUAUGUUCUAAGGAAUAAAGAUGCCUUUUGGUGUCGCUUUGAGAUGAGCCUGCGUCCGAUUAGCUUGUUGGUAAGGUAAAAGCUUACCAAUGCGACGAUCGGUAGCUGGUCUGAGAGGACGUACAGCCACACUGGGACUGAGACACGGUCCAGACUCCUACGGGAGGCAGCAGUGGGGAAUAUUGCGCACUGGGGGCAAGCCUGAACCAGCCAAUACCGAGUGGGAUGAAGACAAGGCAUUAGGGUCGUAGAAAUCCAUUCCAGCGAUGAAAAACAAUCUUGGGCCUUCAUAAGUGUCGGGGACUUGAUGU
RNAcentral lists this ribosomal RNA (444 nucleotides) under uncultured bacterium. Its description in RNAcentral is "bacterial SSU rRNA". It matches the Rfam family "Bacterial small subunit ribosomal RNA", at positions 37 to 475 of the family's 1533-position model. The record is from RNAcentral.